UGUGGCUUGCAAGGGAGUUCUCGAAAGAGGGCUGAGAGGAGGGUGUUUCCCUCGACCUCACCUGAUUUGGGUAAUGCCAACGUAGGGAUGCAACGAAGAUCGAUCU
Molecule: non-coding RNA, 106 nt
Filed under: Oscillibacter sp. CAG:155
Lineage: Bacteria; Bacillati; Bacillota; Clostridia; Eubacteriales; Oscillospiraceae
Also listed under: 1 other name
Description: TPP riboswitch aptamer (THI element)
Rfam family: TPP riboswitch aptamer (THI element)
About the family: Vitamin B(1) in its active form thiamin pyrophosphate (TPP) is an essential coenzyme that is synthesised by coupling of pyrimidine and thiazole moieties in bacteria. The previously detected thiamin-regulatory element, thi box was extended, resulting in a new, highly conserved RNA secondary structure, the THI element, which is widely distributed in eubacteria and also occurs in some archaea.
Source: Rfam by way of RNAcentral